AGAGUGAAAUCAUCUUCAUCCUGCAAAAAACAAAACACUCCAGAUUUAUUUAGUAUGCAAGCAAAGAUUAAUGAACGCUUUAGAACCCCAGGAAUGCGAAGUUAUGCUGUGAUCUCCCAACAAGAUCUGUGACAUACAAGACCCUUGUGAAUGAGCCGUUACCAUAGCAACGAUCCUGUAUUACAUUCUGACCGUCAGAGUCACUUUUACAGAGAAAUAAUCCACACCUUCCGAUCAAAACCCAAGGUGUGGUUGCAUGUCCCAAAGCAUCUGGCUGAUCUUUGGCGUAAUCGAAAUGACAGCGCUGCACCACACGAACACCAUCCAAAACCAGAAGAGGAAGUGGUAAAGGAUGUCAGGAAAAAUGUACAGGGGUCAGUACAGGUUUCAGCAACUGACUCAAAAUGAAACUUAUUAAA
Molecule: long non-coding RNA, 419 nt
Organism: Silurus meridionalis
Lineage: Eukaryota; Metazoa; Chordata; Actinopteri; Siluriformes; Siluridae
Exons: 2
Source: RefSeq, a predicted model, not a curated record